Molecule: long non-coding RNA, 605 nt
Organism: Tripterygium wilfordii
Lineage: Eukaryota; Viridiplantae; Streptophyta; Magnoliopsida; Celastrales; Celastraceae
Exons: 2
Source: RefSeq, a predicted model, not a curated record
AACUAGAUUCCCCGCAAACCCGUAUUCACAUACCCCGCGAACGGAGUCCAUUACGUGAAUCGUCGACGCUCCAACUGACGAGUUGACUCGUCAGGAAGGCUCGUGUUCAACGUCCAGCUCAUCUUCUUGCAUUCUUCUUCUCUCAGUCUCUCUUUACGCAGCUUGUAGUGCUUAAUCUUGAUCCAGAAUAGAACAGGGAGCUACAAUUGCGGAUCAACGUGUAUGCGUAACACAUUGGGGGGAACAUAUUGGAGAAUAUGAUCCUUGGAAUGGACGUGCGGAGAAUUUUGAAGGCAAUACUAGUUCAACGGUGUUCUUUGGGUUUCAGAUGUUUUGAUUCGUGCAGCCAAAGUUGCAGCUGAUAUGGAAACCCGCGGUAAGGAAUAGGUGAAAAUUUUCAGUCUACCUGAACAACACCAGUGUAUGUGUUCUGCUGUUUUUUGUGUAGAAUAAUUGGUCUUCUGUUGAAUAGUGUUGCAACUUAAAUGAUGAUCCGCAGUGUUGCAUUCUGUGGACUCUGAAUGCUUAAAUGUUUAGUACGUUUUGUCAAGAAUUGUAAUCACAUAUCGGAUUGGCAUAACCCAAUCGAGUGACAUAUAAACAAA